RNAcentral lists this ribosomal RNA (301 nucleotides) under uncultured bacterium. Its description in RNAcentral is "partial 16S ribosomal RNA". It matches the Rfam family "Bacterial small subunit ribosomal RNA", at positions 509 to 807 of the family's 1533-position model. The record is from RNAcentral.
CAGCAGCCGCGGUAAUACGGAGGGAGCUAGCGUUGUUCGGAAUUACUGGGCGUAAAGCGCGCGUAGGCGGUUACUCAAGUCAGAGGUGAAAGCCCGGGGCUCAACCCCGGAACUGCCUUUGAAACUAGGUGACUAGAAUCUUGGAGAGGUCAGUGGAAUUCCGAGUGUAGAGGUGAAAUUCGUAGAUAUUCGGAAGAACACCAGUGGCGAAGGCGACUGACUGGACAAGUAUUGACGCUGAGGCGCGAAAGCGUGGGGAGCAAACAGGAUUAGAUACCCCGGUAGUCCCUGUCUCUUAUAC